AUGCAUGUCCCGCGUGGUAAGCUAUUUAUUGCGGCAGCUAAUGAACGAGUGGACAUAUGCUAUGAUUCAUUCACUGCAGAGGCAUUGGCAGUCAGAUUUUGUUUGAAUCUAGCCAGAACCAUUGGAUGCAGCAAGAUCGUGAUCAACUCGGAUAGCAUGGAGGUUGUGGAAGCUUUGAGAGCAGGCAACUCCUCUUCGGUGGCAAGUGCAAUUAUUGAUGAUUGCUAUUUCAUGUUGUCAGAUUUUAAUCAUGUAAUUUAUGAUCAUUGUAAUAGAGAGAGUAAUAAAGUAGCUCAUGAACUUGCUAGGAUAGUUAAGUUUUCUCCUCCUAUCUGGAUGGAUUCGGCACCGGAUGUACUGCUUCCAUUACUUGUAAACGAUGCCACUAUUUUGCUAAGUGAAUAA
This 405-nucleotide ribosomal RNA is filed under the name Triticum aestivum (bread wheat). RNAcentral's name for it is "partial small subunit ribosomal RNA". The record is from RNAcentral. Lineage: Eukaryota; Viridiplantae; Streptophyta; Magnoliopsida; Poales; Poaceae.